AAAUGCCUCUAGAAAGAUCCGAAGUAAUUCGAGCUGUAAUUGUACAUACAUGUAAAGAGUUCAAAUGCGAAGACGGUAUAAUAAUCCGCUCUGAUGACAAUGCUGCGGUUGUAAUUGAUCAAAAAGGCAAUCCAAAAGGAACUCGAGUUUUUGGCACGACUGCCAAGGAAUUGAGAGAAUUGAAUUUUACCAAAAUAGUUUCAUUAGCUCCUGAAGUAUUAUAAAUACUAGUAGGCGAAAUUGAGACCAAAGAAUUAAUUUAGUAGAUUGUGUUUUACGUAUAUGUUUUAAAAUCCAAAAUGAAAAAAAAGAAAACAUGUUGAUUAUAGAAAAAUUAGGAGGAACCUAGAAUUAUAGUCUUAUGGGCAAGGACACUAUUGCUGAUUUACUAACCUCUAUAAGAAAUGCGGACAUGAAUAAAAAAGGAACAGUUCGAGUAGUAUCUACAAAUAUUACUGAAAACAUUGUUAAAAUACUUCUACGAGAGGGUUUUAUUGAAAGUGUUCGGAAAAAUCAGGAACGUAACAGAUAUUUCUUGGUUUCAACUUUGUGACAUCAAAAGAGAAAGACUAGAAAAGGAAUAUAUAGAACAAGAACCUUUUUAAAGCGUAUCAGCUGACCCGGCUUACGAAUUUAUACCAACUAUCAAGGAAUUCCUAAAGUUUUGGGUGGAAUGGGAAUUGCUAUUCUUUCUACUUCUCGAGGAAUAAUGACAGAUCGAGAAGCUCGACUAAACAGAAUUGGGGGAGAAGUCUUAUGUUAUAUAUGGUAAUUGCCCCGCCUAUAGUGCUUGAAUUCUAUCUCGCCCUUCCUAUUUUUAAAAUAAAAAUAGAAAAAUAGGAGAAAAAAAUAUGACAGAAAAAAAAUAGGAGAGAAAAAAAACCCGAGAGAAGCAAAAGUAACUUUCGAAGGUUUAGUUACGGAAGCCCUACCCAAUGGAAUGUUCCGCGUUCGGCUAGAGAAUGACACCGUCAUCCUAGGCUAUAUUUCAGGAAAGAUACGGUCUAGUUCUAUACGAAUACUAAUGGGGGAUAGGGUCAAAAUUGAAGUAAGUCGUUAUGAUUCAAGCAAGGGACGUAUAAUUUAUAGACUUCCCCAUAAGGAUUCGAAGC
Molecule: non-coding RNA, 1112 nt
Organism: Triticum urartu
Lineage: Eukaryota; Viridiplantae; Streptophyta; Magnoliopsida; Poales; Poaceae
Source: RefSeq, a predicted model, not a curated record